AAUCAACGCUGGCGGCGUGCCUAACACAUGCAAGUCGAACGCGAAAGUGGAGCAAUCCAUGAGUAGAGUGGCAAACGGGUGAGUAACGCGUGGGUGGACCUCGCCUUCCGUAGUGGGGNGGGUAACGUUACCGGUAACGGGAAACGGGACGUACUAACCGUACCGACUAAACUAAACUACCUUCCGUCGUUUUUAACGUUUUUAAAGGGUAGGGGUACGGAACUACUAAACGAAACCGUCCGGGUACCGGGGACCCGAACGGAACCGGACCGGACGGGCCGUUCGUUAA
This 289-nucleotide ribosomal RNA is filed under the name uncultured bacterium. RNAcentral's name for it is "partial 16S ribosomal RNA". The record is from RNAcentral.